Molecule: long non-coding RNA, 13562 nt
Filed under: Citrus sinensis (sweet orange)
Lineage: Eukaryota; Viridiplantae; Streptophyta; Magnoliopsida; Sapindales; Rutaceae
Description: long non-coding RNA (CSIN_LNC002232)
Source: RNAcentral
UCGGGUUUGACGGAUUAAGAGCUCCGGAAACGGUGGCCAGGGACCCCGUUGUGUCAUUUAAGACUGCCUUGUGGUUUUGGAUGACCUAUGUGCACCCAGUUAUGAACCAAGGUUUUGGUGCAACAAUUCAGAGAAUCAAUGGAGCCAUUGAAUGCGGUGGCAAGCAACCUGCUCAGGUUCAAGCUCGCAACGGAUAUUAUAAGGAUUAUUGCAACAAAUUUGGUGUUGCUCCUGGCCCAAAUCUCUAUUGUUAAGAUGUUUUCGCCGAUACUUCACUGGCUUGUGGAAAUAAUGUGGCGUAAUUUUAUAAUAUAGGGUGGUUUCAUGUAUCGAAAACAAAAUAAAUUGAAGAAAUAAAAGUGUGUUCCUAAUGUGGUGUAAUUUUAUAAAAUAGGGUGGUUUCAUGUACCUAAAACAAAAUAAAUUGAAGAAAUAAAAGGGUGUUGCCGACCAUAUUUUAUUGCUUAUAUGGUUUGUGAUUAAUUAUGCUUCUUGGAGAAACUCCACCUUGAUUUAGCUUUGGCUUUUUUAGGAAAAGCAAUAUGAUAGAUGUUUGUCAGUGAAAAAAGAAACUAACUUUAUACAAAGAGCAAUACUAGCUUUAGUGAUUGAUUGAGUGUCGGAUUGGACACCAACUUUAAGUAACCCAGCUUUUUCAUAACAUAAUAUUUGUAACAUAGGACUUAAAAAAUAUGAUGAAUUAAUAACUUAAUAAAUGUAACAAAUAUUUUGAUAAUAUGUGUAUCAUAAAAAGAAUGUAACAAAGUAUUUGACAACAAUAAUUGGUUCAGAACAAGACAAUGUUUCCAUGGAAUUAUGAGAAGAAUCGUGUUAGAGAUUAGGACAAAGGAAACUGCGCGACAACUUUCGUACCGUAGUAUCACAGUGGCGCCUUUUUUUCAAUCUUUUGCAAUACUAAAUUUUAUUUGGCCUCCUUACUUUCUUAUGUAUUUUCAAUUUAUUAAAUAAAUCAACACAUUUAUAAAGAUGGCUGAUAGCCGGCACCGGGCAGCUUUUAUCGGGGUUGCCAGUAAGCUAAAUCAAUUUUGGAGGAGCAUAAAACUUCAGCUUUAUGAAUAACAUUAUUUUAUUGCAUUUACUCUACUAAUUUUAUGGCUUUGAACCCUUUGUUUGACAAGAAAUAUUUGUGUCGGAUCAUCGCACCACCUCAAUCAUACCAUUUAGAGACUUAUUAUUCUGUCACAUAACCCAAUAGUAUUGGAUUUUUUCCAACAAAUUUAACAUACUAAGAUAGUAGGACAACCUUACAAAAAAAUUUUGAGUUAAUAGUGCUAAAUGGUAUUAUAAUCAAAAGUGGGUCUUGGUAUCUUUUAUUAAAAAUUUUAGAUCUACAUAACCAUUUCUCUAAACCUUGAGGAUGUAGGUAUCUUUUUCCCUAAAGUAAAAGAUUCUCUUAUUAUAAGAUUAAAAUUACUCAUAGUGAUAAUAUUAUAAUCUAUUGACAUUUUUUUUUUCAAUUAGACCAAAUUAUAAUAUUUUUUAUAAUAAGGUAAAGCAGUGCUAAGUCUUUAAACUUCUGAUGAUUUCAAUUUAUUCAAUAAAUAUAUAAUCUCUAACUCUAAUUGAAGAAAAAAAAAAGGUUGAAUUGGGGACAUAUUUAAAAGUAAAAUAAAUAUUGUUUUAUGAAAAAUUAUAAAAAAUUAAGGGGUUUAAGCAAAAAUUUUCGAGGCCUGGGUCCGCCCCCAAAGGAACAGUCACUUUUGGUCAAUUUAAUUUGAAAGUUCCACAAAUAAUAAUGCUAAAUCAAAUUCAGUUGUAAAUGAACAAGAACAAGACGAGAAUUUGGGCGACAAUUAGGGAACAAGAUGAAAUGAAGGUGAGAUGAGAUGAAGAUGAUUUUGAGAAGAAGAGAGAGAUUUGGAAUUUGGGCCGGAUUGUUUUUAAGUUCUGAAAUAUGUUUUAGAGGGUAUAAUGUUAAUAACCAAAUAACAACAUCCUACCGUUGAAACUACUUUUUCAUGUAUACAGCUGAAGUAUCAUAAUGAAAAAAUUUGACACAUGUUGCAAUUGUUUCAAAGUAAUUGAAUCCUAUAUGAUUAUUAUUUUGCAACAAGCUAUAUAUAAACAAUAAUUUACUUAAGGGUGGGCAAUGAGACGAUUUGAUUAGGUAUUGGGCCGAAUCCAAAACUUUAGUUUGGUUCAGUACUGAAUUCUUGAAAAAUCAAUAGGAAUAGAAUUAGAACUAAGAUUUUCGAUUUAGUUUGGUCCUUUAAAUAUUUAUAAAAUUUUUUAAUUUUUUUACAAAAUUUAAUAUUUUUUAUUUAAUUUCUUAUAUUCUCUUAGAUCAUGCUAUGUAGCAUUACUUAAAUAUAAAAUAACGUCAUUUUUUUUCUGCUUCGGUUCUAAUUAUGAGAAUUUAAUUCAAUUUCAUAUUUGUUUUAUCAACUUUUUUUAAAGAAAAUGUCCCUUGAGUUUACCUAUAAGAAAAUAGACAUCGUUCAAGAAUGAAAGUUUAGAAAAUUGACUAGACUUUUCAAGUCUUUAAAAGAUAUUGUUUUAUAUGUAGGUUAUGCUAACUUCUUGCUUACGAGAAUUUUCAAGUCUUUAGAAGAUAUUGUUUCAUAUGUAGGUUAUGCUAACUUGUUGCCUACGUAAACGAGCUAAGGAUACUAUUCCUCGAAAUAAUUAUCCAGAAGAAAAAGUUUGAUCUAUUAAUUAAAAUUAGGGAGAAUGAUGCUCGAUCUAUCUUAUAAUUUAUUUUUACAACUUGAGUUCCAAUGAAAUUUAUUACUCAUUUUGUUCCAACUUUUAAACAGUGACAAAAAAUAUGCAUUAUUAAAGGAUAAAUGAGAACUUUUCACGUACAAUUUUGAUAGAUCUGCAAAAGAAAAAAAAUGAAGAAGAGGAAGUGUUUUUACUGUAAGAAACAAGGCCAUUACAUUAGAGAUUGUUCUGAGAAAAAGAAAUAUGAUAAAGAGAGAAUAUGAGAUGCAGCAGUGGCCUCAGAUGAUUUAUCUGAUGAUGGAUACCAUAGUGCUGACUUGUUGGUAGCCUUAAACAACAACAUUAGAGGUUAUUAGGUCCUUGAUUUAGAUUGUUCCUUUCAUUUGUGUCCUGAUAGAAGUUUUUUUUAUGAGUAUGAAUAUGUGGAUAGUGGUAGAGUUUUGAUGGGAAACAACAAUGUGUGUAAGAUUUUUGGUAUAGGGUUUAUCAAAAUAGAGAUGUUUGAUGGGAUUGUUAUAACUCUAUGUGAUGUGAGACAUACACCUAGGCUAAAGAGGAACUUAAUCUCUUUAGGCAUGCUGGAUAGUACAUGAUACUUCUUCAAAUUUGAAAAUAGUGGUUUAAAGAUUAUGAAAAGGACUGAGAUGGUAAUGAAAGGGAUUAAGAAAAAUGGUCUUUAUAUAUUAGAAGGAUCAUCAGUGCUUGUGUCAACUAUAAUGACAACUAUUUCUGAGCUUGAUAGAACUAUGUUAUGACAUCUUAGACCUGACCAUAUGAGUAUUAGGGGAAUGCAAAAAUUAAGUAUUCAAGGGUUGCUCUGUGGUGACAAAAUAAUUGAGUUAGACUUAUGUGAAAACUGUAUUUUUAGCAAAGCACACAUGUCAAAUUUACUAAAGGGAUGCAUGUGUCUAAACAACCUUUAGACUAUGUGCAUGCUGAUCUUUGAGCGCCUGGUCAGGUCUCUUCUCUAAGUGGUGGAAAGUACUUUAUAUCUGUGAUAAAUGAUUACUCCAGAAAGGUUUGGGUAUAUAUAUUUGAAAACCAAAGAUCAAGUCUUUGAAAAGUUUAAAGUCUUGAAGGCUUUGGUGGAGGCUCAAUAUGGUUUCAAAGUGAAAUGCCUUAGGACAGACAAUGAACUUGAAUUCUGUAAUAAAGAGUUUAAAGUUUUUUUUUUAUCAAGAAUGAGGGAUUAAGAGGCAUAAGACGGUAAGGCUCACCCCUCAGCAAAAUGGCUUAGUUGAAAAGAUGAACAGAACCCUUGUUUAUAAGACAAGAUGCUUAUUGAUCAAUUAUUAAUUACCAAGGAGUUUUUGGGUUGAAGCUAUCUCAACAGCCUGUUAUCUCAUUAAUAGAAGUCCAUCAUCAGCCAUUGGGUUCAAAACUCCAUAAGAAGUCUAGUCUGGAAAACUUGCAAGCUAUAAAUAUCUCAGGGUAUUUGGGCAUCCUACGUAUGUUCAUAUUAGACAAGGGAAGCUUGAUGCACAAGCUGUCAAAUGAGCAUUUGUUCGUUAUAUAGAUGGGGUUAAAGGCUACAGAGUUUGGUGUGGAAAAGCUAAUAAGUGUUUAAUUAUUUAUUCUGUUUAAUGAAGUUGUUGUAAUCAAUAAGUCUGAUCAAGUAACUUCUGAUACUGAUAUUAAUGUAAAUAAGACACUGACUACUGGAGUCAUUAAUCAAGGUGUUAAUAUUGAGGUAGAGUUGUCUAGUGCUCAUAAAGAUGAAGUACAACCAGAAGCUGUUGAAGAUUAUUCUCAAGAUACAGUAGUAAUUGAAGAUGCAGCACCACAAGUUACUGAUCUGCAAUAAUAUCAAUUAGAUAUGGACAUAUAAAGAAGACAUAUCAUACCCCCAAAAAGGUAUGCAUAUACAGACAUAGUUGCAUAUGCAUUGACGAGUGUAGAGGAUGUUUCAAUUGAAAAGCCUAGCAGCUACGCAAAAGCACUAAGUACAACAAUAACUAGAUUAAAGCAAUAAGGGAAGAGAUGGAUUCUCUGGUAAGGAAUCAGACAUGGACAUUGGUUUCUAAUCCAAGAAAUAGGAAAAUUGUCAGCUGCAAAUGGAUAUUCAAGAAGAAUGAGGGUAUUCCAUGUGUUAAAGACUCAAGAUAUAUGGCAAGACUUGUGGCAAGGGGUUUCAAAAUGAGGGGUAUAUUUUAAUGAAAUCUUCUCACAUGCUGUAAAACACAAAUCAAUUAGAACCUUACUUGUUAUGGUGACUUUGCUUCAUGUAGAGCUUGAACAAAUGGAUAUAAAGACUGCCUUCUUACAUGAUAAUCUUGAAGAAAAGAUAUUAAUGUCACAGCCUGAAGGUUUUUAAGUAAAGGGACAUAAGGAUUAUGUAUGUCUUCUGCAUAAGUCUCUAUAUGGCUUGAAAGGGUCUCCUAGGCAAUGUAAGAGAUUUGACCAGUUUAUGAUCUCUAAUGGCUAUUACAAGAGCACAUAUGAUAAUUGUAUCUUGUUGAGUGUUAGAAAAUAUAUAUUUAUAAAGGAGAAAAUCGUCAUUUUACAUUUCAAGUCUUAUUAACACCCUUACUUUUAUGUAUUUUAAGUUUCUUGUGAUUCAAUUAUAUAUGUUUUAUUUUAAUUAAGUAUUUUAUGUAUUUUAGGGACAUCAUGGUCAUUUCACAAUGAACUAGAGAUCAGACGGCAAAACGGACAUCACUUUUGAACUCAGGACAGUCGAAAACCUUAGGAGGAGCAUAAAAGGAAAAAUAUCAUUGUUCACAUGUACGAUAUUAUUCACAUGUACGGUAUUGUUUACGUUACUGUUCACGACACUGUUCACAUAGACGGAUCAAUGACGUGGCAUUGACCGAUGAUGUGGCAUUGACUGACGAGGUGACACGAUUCCAUUGGAGAAAAUUCUUAUGCACUGUUGAUUGGUGACGCGGCAGCAUAUCAGUGGACUAAAAAUCGCGCGUACAGUACAUGCAUAUACACAGGAUUAUUUUCAACCAAACCGUGUCACUAUUCAAACCAGUUGACUGUUCAAACCGUGUGGUCAAACCGUAUCACUGUUCAAACCGCGUGGUCAAACUGCGUACUGUUGACUGAUGACGUGGCGCAAUCCUGAGCGUUCAAACUGUUUUUAAUUCGAUAGCCAUUGUUUACUCAAUGUAUCUAUAAAAAUAGGACCUCUCCCCCCUAUUUUGAUAUCUCUGAAUUCAAUUUUAAGUUCCAUUUUCUAUAAUUCCUUCUCCAUCUUGUAUUUUCUACGUAUUUUAAUAAAUUCUUAUUUUGCUCCUAGUUCAAUUAUGAGUAGUUAAUUUUCUUUCAAGCUUGGGUUGAAGGUGAAGUCUCAACAUAUGUCAUGGGCUUUAUUUGGUAAAUUUAUUUUCUCUUCACCUCUAAUUUUUGUGGAUGUUUUGACUUUUCGUCGACAAAUAAUAAUAAUCUUGUCUAGAUACCGCACUGAUUUUACCGGCUCCCUAGUACAAAGUUAUUAUUAUUUGGUACGAUAAGCUCUUAGCACCAUAUUGAUUAGAGUGUGGUUCAUGAGGUGUGGAUUCCCCCCUCAUGAUUUAAUUGGCAUUAAUAAGAAAUAUUUAGCCCAUGGUGCAUGUUGAUGCGGAUCUAGAUACCCAAGCGCUUCAAUUAUUAUAGUUUCCAUUUUAAUUUAAUUCUGCCAUUUCAAUUUAAAUUUUAAGAUAUUCCAAAUCAUCUUUACCAUAAUUCCAACCACCCAUUUAGAAAAAUUAAUUCUACACACAAUUAAAAUCCACCUCCUCGUGGGAUCGACACUUGUCACCAUUGAUCUAUUCUAAAAUAGAUUCGUGCACUUGCGAGUUCAAUAAAAUUUGUACAACAUGUCUAUCAUAGGAACAUAAGCUCAGGUGGAGCUAUGUAUCUUUUGUUGUAUGUUGAUGAUAUACUCAUUGUUGGUAAAAAUUCUAGUGAUAUUGAGAAACUUAAGAAUUUAUUAAAGGGGGAAUUUGAAAUGAAAGAUCUUGGCAGUGCUAAGAUGAUCCUUGUUAUGGAUAUUCUUAGAGAUAGAGUUGUUGGUACUUUGUUUCUAAGCCAAUCAAGAUAUGUCAGUAAGGAGUUAGAAAAGUAUAUUAUGAUGGAUUCAAAACCUGUAAUGACACUUUUGGGAGCUCAAUUUAAACUCUCUAAUGAUAUGUCUCCAAUAUCAUAUGCUAAGAAAUUCUAUAUUUACUGGCUGUAGGAAGCUUAAUGUAUGCAAUGGCUUGCACCAGAGCAGACAUAGCUUAUGCAGUAAGUGUAGUAAGCAGGUUUAUGAGUAAUCCUGAUAAGCUUUAUUAGGAUGCUAUGAAAUGGGUUAUGAGGUACUUGAAACGUACUUUAGAUCAUGGUCUGGUGUAUGGCAAAUCCAAGCAAGAAGUCUAUGAAGUUAGAGGCUAUGUGGACUCUAAUUUUGCAGGUGACUUAGAUAGGAGAAAUUCUAUCUCUGGAUACCUGUUCAUGCUAGAAAAUUGUCUCAUAAGUUGGAAACUUACUUUACAACACAUAGUAGCUUUGUUAUCUACUGAGGCUGAAUUUUUGCUGCAAUAGAGGCAGUAAAAGAAUCAUUGUGGCCGAGAAGGCUACUGAAUGAAUUUUGGUUGAAACAAAAGACAAUUUAGAUCUUUUGUGAUAAUUAGAGUGCGAUUCAGCUUAUAAAAAAUGAAAUUUAUCGUGGGAGAACCAAACACAUUGAUAUGAAGUUGCACUUUAUCAGAGAUGAGGUCGCAAAAGGGUUUGUUGUAGUAACAAAAAUAUAUACAGAUAUCAACCCUACUGAUAUGUUAACAGAAGUAAUUCCAACAGCCAAAUUUAAGAUUUGUGUAGACUUGAUUGGUAUUGGAAAUGGUUCUAGUUGUUAAGUUGCGUGGUUGAAGGUUUUUUUUUUAAAGCACUUAUGGUCAAGAGUAAUGCUGAAUCAGAUCUGCAAGGUGGAGAGUGUGAGGACAUGAGUUAUGUUUUUGGACUAAAAUGUAAUCGAAUGAAAGUUGUUGGGUAAUGUGCAAAUCGACUUCAAAUGAGGAGUCAAUUUGUAAAUUCUGCGCUAAUGUGGCAAAAAGGUUAAAGGUUGUUAAGGUGUUUCUAGAAAAUUUCCAAAAUAUGAAAGGGCCUGCUGUGCAUUGCUUUGUGUGUGAUUUCUCUUUUGUUUCUUAGCUAAAAAAGGUGAUUCUAGAUUCUUUGGAAUCCUUGAAGUGUCCUCAAAACAAUUGAUCUGAUUGUAAAGCAUUUGAGUAAUGAGAUCUUGUUCAUUUUUCCUUUGAAACUUGGAAGCUUGUUCACUGUGAAUAGUUUUCUAGGUUCUUGUUUGACUGAAUCAUUUUCUGUUCUUGAUUCCAUUCUGUCUUUAAUUGAUCAAAGUUGUGUGAGUUGAUUAAUUUCUUGUUAAUAGCCAUUAAAAUACAACAGGAAAACUACCAAAACCUAACCCGAAAUUCGAAUGUUGCCAAAUCCUGAAUCUAAAUCCAAAUUUCUAAAUGUUGACAAAUCCUAAUCCUAACCCUAAAUCUGAUACUUGUUCAGCUUUGGUGGGAAAAUCUUUUAUAGAAGAUAGUUUUCUUCAUGGUUACGUUGGUGGUCUAUAUGAGGUUCAAACUAUGUGCGUACAAUGAAUUCAAGACCUUUAAUAAGGUUUAAUUUAAAUUUAUAGUGAAAGAUUAUCGUGUCUAUCUAAGGAAGUGAAAUCUUAUACUUCCAUUUGGGAACUAGCUAGCUUAUCGAAACAAGUUUUGAACAAUUUAAUUAUUAAUGUUCAAUUUUGAUGUACUGAUCUCGGAAGUUGGAAUAAUGGAGCACAAUUAAUUAAUUUCCUUGAUAUUUAAUUAGAAUGUGAAAUCUUUAUUUCUCUUUUGGGGAAGCUAAUUUAUUGCUGCAAGUUUUGCAACCUAAAAAUAGGUUCCCUUACUGUUAAAGUAGAUUGUCAAUGAACCGCUGUUAUUAAGUCCAAAAAUCAUAAACAUAAAUUGUAAAAUAAUUUAUUGUAGAUGACAAAAGAUGUAUUGGGCCGGACUCAACAAAGGGUGCGUUUUUUAUUUGGAAUCAGUGGAUGUCCUAUGGAACGCCUCAAGGUCCACUAAACAGCCACACAACUGUUAUGGUAAAAAAUGUUUUCAGGUCAGCGGAAGUUUUUUUGAAUAAUCAAUGGAGGAAAGUAAAAAAUACCCUUAGUUUGUAAGUGAAAUUACUACAUAUUUAUUUUGUUAUAUCAUUUAAGAUCAUGUCUUUUUCUGGUUGACGUGCAAUCUUGGCCAUGAAAUGGGACUCUUUAUUGCUUGAACAAUAGUUGAAAGAACUAAUUACUAAUCACAUGAUUUGUGGUUUAUACCUCCAUCAGCCAGAAUCAUACAAUUGUAAACAACUAUUGUCGUGUAGAAAAAAAUCAAGAAUAAAGUUAAUUUGUAUGUUUUUUUUUUGCCAUAAGAUAUAUAUAUAUAUAUAUAUAACUGAUUUGUUCCUAUAGAUUAUGAUAUGUUUGUAAACAACUUUCAGGUUGAUUUGCAAUUGAAAUAUUGUUCUCGUCUGCCAUAAAUUAAUGGAUUAUUUUUGUUGUUAAUUGACUCGUCUAUGAAAUUAAAGAAAACUGGAAAUACUUUAGAGCCAUAAUUUCUUUAAAAACUAGUUAUUAAUUUGAUAAAUGAUGAACAUUCAAUUCUUUAAUUGGAUAAAACUUAAAGCCUGCAGAUAAUCAUACAUAUUUUAGGCAAUUUUCUUUUGCUCAAAUAUUAUAAUGUGAAUGUGAAUGAUGUGGUGCUCCUAAAACACCCAACGCCCAAGACUUUUUUAUAAUAGAGUAAAUUUAACUUAGACAUGUUUGGCAACGGAGUAAAGUUUGGGGAUUUUGUUAUGUAUGCUCAACUACUUUGUGCACUGAGUUCUAUCAAGGUAAGCACUGUACAGUCCAUUAUCAGACUCAGACAACUAUUAUAGUGUACUCCUCUUUCUUGUCAUAUUUUUCCUUUUCAAACGUAAUUAAAGAAAUUACAUAUUCAAAUGAAAUGACAUACCAAAAGGAGCCUAGUCAUAAGUCCAGCAAGCUUUAUCAUUCAAAGUAGCCCCAAUUGUGAUUUGUCAGAAGGCUUAGAAUGAAGGACAAAAAUCCCAAGAGAAGAGCCUAAUAAAAAAUUAGAGCAAAACAAUAAUUCCAUUGACCGAUAUCAUUUAUAAAAGAACCUUUGAAAAAAAGAAAAUUAUGCACUUUUUAUUUUGGGCGAUACGAGAUGCUUUCCAAACAGCAUGUGUUAAGAAAUCCCAAAAAUUGUACACGUGUAAAAAAUUACUGGCUGAUUCGACGGAUGAGGUUGGCUUUUUGCCCCUUUUUUUUUUUUUUGUCAGGAGGAUGUGGUUGGCUUUUCAUACAAAUAAGGGCAAAUUACCCUAUUUAUAAAUUAGUAAAAGGGACACUUGGAAUCCUUCUAAGUUCAUUUUAAAAAAAAAAAAAAUUCUGAAAAGCUAAUGUUUCUUAUCCGACAAAGAGAACUUUUAUCUUCUUAUCAUGAUUUAUGAAUACUGAUUUUGAUGUUUUCAAUCCAGCUCAGAAAUUUUUUUUCCUUUGAUCAUGAUUCAUGAACAAUGUGUUUGAUGCUUUAACUGUGCAGUUUUCAUCUCCCCAGGUGGAAAGUUUUGAGUAAAAAGUCAUAGAUUUUCUUUGAAUCUUUUAUUAAACUUGUCAAAAGAACAUGCUACCGACAUUACAAAGAAAAUCUGUUUUCUUUUUUUCCCGUUUUUCGGGCAGCCGAAUGCAAUCGAAACAAGUUUCGUACCGUUGUAAACUUGUAUACUUGAUGGUCCCAAUCAGUGGCUGCCUGUUUCUAAUAUCGAAGUAAAAAAAAAAAAGUUAUUUUUCCGAUUGCAGAUAUAUUUAUUUUGAUUAAAAUUGGCUAUCACAAAUAGAUUAAUGCAAAAUUGGUCAUCAUGUGUUUGAUUAAUUUAUCCUAUUUUUCGUUAUUAGUUUUAAGCUUUUCUUUCAAGUUUUUUUUUGGGACAAAAUUUUCAAAUUUUCUAUGGCCAUAAUCAUAUGUUGGGGUUUGUAUCAGAAAAAAGUUUUUAAGUAUUUGUAUGGAAAAAGACAACUUAUCCUACGUGAAAGUUUUAGAAGCUCCUUUGAUCGGUUAGAUUUUUAAUAAGGAUAUUUUCUAAUUAAUUUUAUAAGUAUAUAUAUAAACUUUUUUUUUUCAUGUGGACAGCUUAUUGUUUAUUUCAUAUGCCACGUUAUUGAGUCAUAUGAUUUAAUAAAAUUAGUACAAACAUAUUAUUAAAUUACAUGAUUUUAUAAUAUAUUAAAUAUUGAUUUUAUUAAAACAGAUGAAACCCUUGUACUUGAGAAUGAAAGUUUGUAUACAUUAGGACGUCACCAAAAUAUUUUGAGAUAUUAAAUUGAUUAGUGACACACCAGAAUAUCAAUGCCGAGAAGAGAACGAGAAGAACUAGUGUGGAGAAAAGGGUACAAGAAGAAUUGCUUUCAUUUCAUGGACCCAAAUUUACGCCGCUAAUUGAGAACGGGAGUUAGUGGAAGGCUUGACUUUUCAGUUUCGAAGAUAUACAUAAAUAUUUCAGUAUUUAUAAACGGAAAAUAUUAAAAAAAACUCAGAUGUUUGGACUGAUUAUUAAUUUUUACAUUGUGAUAACUGAUAUCACUAAAAAAAGGAAAAAGAAUUAAGGAAAGAAAGGAAAUUAAGUUAUAAAGAAAUUAGGGUAUAUAUCCUAUAUUUUAAUUUAAAUAUCUUUUUUGUCCACAUAUUUUAAAAAAAAAUGUAAAGACAUCCUAUUUUAAAUAUGUUACGAUCUUCCUCUUAUUUUUUUCUUACCUUUUACAACAAUACUAACAAUAAUAUUUUUGGCAUUAAUUUUUUAUCUAAAAAAAUAAAUAGCAUAUUAACCAAUAUAUUAGAAAAUUAGAAAUAAAUAUCAUUCUACAACAACUAGUAACCAUUUAUGAUAAAUUAAAACCAACUAAUUUAAAGCAAUGUUUAAGCUAAGUUAAUUUUUUGUAAAAAAAAAUUAAUUACCAAAUUAAUCCUAAAAUUAAGAUAACAAAAAAUAGAUAGAGUAAUUUUUAUCUUACUUUUAAGACUAAUUUGAUAAAUUCAUUUUUUUUUUCUUUUCAUUGAAUCUCCAACAAUAUUAUUGUAAGGGUAUUAUUCUAAAAUCAAAGAAAAGAUCAGGGUAGGAAUGUAAUAUAUUUACCAGUAAAGAUGUCUUGAAAUAUUUUCUAAAAUAAAGAGAUUAAAUGGAUACUUAACUGAAAAAUACACAGACCAAAUAAGUAUUUAGCUGAGAAAAUAUGAUACCAUGUUAUUAGUUAUUAAUUAACAAACCUAAAAAAAUUUAAAUCACUCAAAUGAGUACAAACCACAUAUUUUUUUGUUAAAAUUUGUGUAAAGUCUAGUGCAUGUGUAUAUAUAUAAACAAAGUAGGUAGAUAAUUAAAAAUAAACAUGUCUGAGUUUCAAUAUCUGAAAGCUCGAAACAAGUAUGAGUUUAAGAUUUUCCAAUCUACAAUUAAUUCAGUUACAUUAAAAAACAAAUUUCCUCAAAAUUUAUUGAAAAUUAGUUAUUUAAAAUUAUAUUUUGUACAAUUAUUAUUCAAAUUUAAUUUGAAAAAGUUUAAUAUAGAUGGCGGUCAAUCAACAACCCACUCGAAAGAUUUGAUUUAUUUUCUUUUAUUUUAUUUCUAGUUCUUUUGACAAGUCAAGCCAGCUAGAUUUCAAGCCACAACAAAUGCGAAGUCUAGAAAAACCUAACAAGAGAUAAACUCUAUGUUCAAAUUUAUCACAAUUCACCAGCACGUGGCAGACAUAACGUCCAUUUUGCACUCUAUAAAUACCGUACUCCCAUCACCAACAUUUGCAUAUCACUCACAUUUCUCUACUCCUAAACAAAAUGGCUCCACUUAACAUGAAAAAAAAUAUUGUAACCUUUGCUCUUGUGGGCAUUCUUGCCCUAGCUUUUCCCACCAAAGUAAUGUGUCAAAAUGUUGCUAGCAUUGUGACUCCCCAGUUCUUCGACGGCAUAAAGAAUCAGGCAGCCGCGAGUUGUGCCGGCAAGAGCUUCUACACGAGAGAUGCGUUUCUGAAUGCUGCCAAGGCUUAUCCUCAAUUUGGUAGCGGCUCUCCUGAAGUUUCGAAGCGUGAGAUUGCUGCAUUUUUUGCACACGUCACUCAUGAAACUGGACGUAAGUUCUCUCCAUUUUAUUUCUUUUUGCAUGCAAAGUAUUUAUGAGCAAUCCAUGCAUAGAGAAGAAAACGACUUUUCUUUGUUUUAUUAUUUUCAAAACCGUUUUUGAAAUUUUUUAAAACUAUAUCCCCCAAGGUUGGAAUGAACAUAAUCUUUUUAAUUACAUGCUUUAUAUGUAUUAAAUAAUGUUCUCAGUUUGUUGAACACAUAAAAGUUUUCAAUAAAACUAAUUGAAUACUCCAACUUUUAAUUGAUAUGAUUUGCCACUAGCCAAUUAUCUUGAUUAAGCCCGGAGAGAAUUAAUUAGAAAAAAAAAUGUCUGGCUUUUUCAGAUUUGUGCUACAUAGAAGAGAUUAACAAGUCCAACCGGUACUGUGAUGAACAAAACAAACAGUACCCAUGUGUUCCCGGAAAGUUCUACUACGGCCGUGGACCGAUCCAACUCACCGGAAAUGGAAACUACGGAGCUGCCGGAAAAGCCAUCGGGUUUGACGGAUUAAGAGCUCCGGAAACGGUGGCCAAGGACCCCGUUGUGUCAUUUAAGACUGCCUUGUGGUUUUGGAUGACCAAUGUGCACCCAGUUAUGAACCAAGGUUUUGGUGCAACAAUUCAGAGAAUCAAUGGUGCCGUUGAAUGCGGUGGCAAGCAACCUGCUCAGGUUCAAGCUCGCAUUGGAUAUUAUAAGGAUUAUUGCAACAAAUUUGGUGUUGCUCCUGGCCCAAAUCUCUCUUGUUAAAAUGUUUUCGCCGA